This 198-nucleotide non-coding RNA is filed under the name Oxobacter pfennigii. Its description in RNAcentral is "T-box sequence". It matches the Rfam family "T-box leader". From Rfam's summary of the family: Uncharged tRNA acts as the effector for transcription antitermination of genes in the T-box leader family. T-boxes are found upstream of many aminoacyl-tRNA synthetase genes and some amino acid biosynthetic genes usually in Gram-positive bacteria. Lineage: Bacteria; Bacillati; Bacillota; Clostridia; Eubacteriales; Clostridiaceae. The record is from RNAcentral.
AACAAAGCUUUGACAGGGAUAAGUAAACAAUAUCGUAUUUCAAAGAGAAUGGGGACACGGUGGAAGCCCAUAUUUACGGUUGUUGAAACUCACCCUCGAGCUGCAGGCUGAAAUUAAGUAGGACCUGCCGGCAACAUGCCGUUAUUUGAUGAAGUUAUAAAUUUGGGUGGUAACGCGAGCAGAUUUCUCGCCCCAUAA